CCGGGGAGCCGGGCGACCGCGUCUGCCUGCAAGAAGUUGCAGGACAGCCGAGGAAAGUCCGGGCUCCACGAAACAAGGGCGGCGGGUAACGCCCGCCAGGGCGGGAAUGCUUGCAUUCUUGCUCAAGGGAAAGUGCCACAGAAAGCAAACCGCCGAUGGCCCGGCUCUCUUGGGAGUUCGGGCACAGGCAAGGGUGAAAGGGUGCGGCAAGAGCGCACCGGGGCGCUGGCGACAGCGCCCGCGCGGCAAACCCCGCCUGGAGCAAGACCGAAUAGGGUCGGCGCGCCCUGGCCUUUGGUCGGGGCAGGCGGGUUUCGCGCCGAGUCGUCCGGGUUGGUCGCUGGAGCGGCGCAGCAAUGCGUCGCCGAGAGGAAUGGUCGCCAUCCCGGAAAGGGUCCGCGCAAGCGGAUACCGUCUGGGAUACAGAACCCGGCUUACAGGCUCCCCGGCACC
This 453-nucleotide RNase P RNA is filed under the name Alphaproteobacteria bacterium. Its description in RNAcentral is "RNase P RNA component class A". It matches the Rfam family "Bacterial RNase P class A". From Rfam's summary of the family: Ribonuclease P (RNase P) is a ubiquitous endoribonuclease, found in archaea, bacteria and eukarya as well as chloroplasts and mitochondria. Lineage: Bacteria; Pseudomonadati; Pseudomonadota; Alphaproteobacteria. The record is from RNAcentral.